ACCACGAAACUGCAGAACUCCCAUCAAGCCAUCUGAUAUUGACCUCCCCCUAAACGGGGUGCUUAUGAGCUCUGGCCUUUAUACUAUGCUACCCUUCUUAGUUAGCAGAGGCACUCCAUAAAUACUGAGAACUCAUUGGCUGCUUGAGUAGCUAACAAAUAAUAAUGUUUACAGCUUCCUUCCAGAACUCACGGCCAAAGCAACUCUGCUAAAUGGCCUCCUUUCCUCCUCUCUUCCUCAGUGACUUGCUUAUAUACAUUUUGAGACUCAUCCUGCAAUAGUUGGGAAGCAAUUAUGUUGAGGUUUCUUCUUAACAAUGAAAAAAGGAACAAAGUCCAUAGGGGAAAAGUCCCCCUGAACCGGUUGUGAACAGGAAAACACACCCUGACUAUGGUUACACAUGGUGCUCCAAGGUUCUCUAAUCUAACGUCCCAUUGUGAUGUCAAGAGCCACUUCCCCCGGCUUCUGAGGGAGACACACAAGCAGUCCUUUAAUCCGGGCAGGAGGUGAGUGCUAGGGAGAGAUCUGAGGGCAGAGGCCGCUGACACAGAGGAUAAAGUCUGAGCCACGGAGACCUCCCGGACAGCAACCGUAAUAUUUGGGAGCACCAGGAACAGAACCUCAGUGCGUAUGUCUCAGAAGCAGCUGGACCAGCAUGUCGAGGGGAUUUUUCCUUAGGGCUCCCAGUAAAACAGGUGCACGCCCGAAUGCUCAGAAGCAUGGAGAAGAAAUCAGGACAGAAAUGUGGAGGCAAACAGGCCCAGCUCUCCCUACAGCUGAUUUUUAAGAACACAUUUCUUCCCUAUUUUAACAUAAUGCAAGAUUUAUUUCUGUCAAGCCAUACUAGAUUAUACGCACACGCCUACCUGAACAGGAGCCCAUGUGCCCUUAUUUUUUUGCACAUGACUCAGACUCCGGUUUCCCAGAGUCUCUUGGUCCUCAGAGACACUGCCACUGUAUCACCUGUCAGUCAGAAAUCCUCAGAUCCUAACCAUCCACCUAUGUGACCAUUGGACAUAUCAGUGUGGAAUUGGAAGUCAGCAGAAGAUCCCAGCCGUUUCAAAUGGCUCUGGGGCCGAAACGACAUUUGAGGCGAAAAAGAACCAUGAUCUCCGUCCCUCUUAACUUGACCCAGCUCAUUGCUCAAGAGGCAGGCUCCCCACUGGCUCCUCUUCCAAGUGCUCUUAACAAACUCAUCAGGCCUCACAAAGCUGUAUUUCCCCCUCUCAGUCAGAAAACACAGAUCAAUAUACUCAGCAGAAGCACUUA
Long non-coding RNA from Herpailurus yagouaroundi (jaguarundi), 1269 nucleotides. RefSeq lists it as uncharacterized. The record is from RefSeq and is a predicted model, not a curated record. Lineage: Eukaryota; Metazoa; Chordata; Mammalia; Carnivora; Felidae. The transcript has 2 exons.